Molecule: ribosomal RNA, 255 nt
Filed under: uncultured bacterium
Lineage: Bacteria
Description: partial 16S ribosomal RNA
Rfam family: Bacterial small subunit ribosomal RNA
Source: RNAcentral
GCAAGUCGAACGAGAACGGAUAUUAGCUUGCUAAUAUUGUCAGCUAAGUGGCGCACGGAUGAGUAAUAUAUAGUUAACCUGCCUCAAAGAAGGGAAUAAUUGUUGGAAACGACUUGUAAAGCCCUAUAUGCCUUUAUCACAUAAGUGAGCAAGGGAAAUAUUUAUAGCUUUGAGAUGGGACUGUACGGUAUCAGAUAGUUGGUGAGGUAAUGGCUCACCAAGUCAAUGACACCUAACUGGUUUGAGAGGAUGAUC